RNAcentral lists this ribosomal RNA (468 nucleotides) under uncultured bacterium. RNAcentral describes it as "partial 16S ribosomal RNA". It matches the Rfam family "Bacterial small subunit ribosomal RNA", at positions 28 to 507 of the family's 1533-position model. The record is from RNAcentral.
GACGAACGCUGGCGGCGUGCUUAACACAUGCAAGUCGAACGGAAAGGCCCUGCUUUUGUGGGGUGCUCGAGUGGCGAACGGGUGAGUAACACGUGAGUAACCUGCCCUUGACUUUGGGAUAACUUCAGGAAACUGGGGCUAAUACCGGAUAGGAGCUCCGGCUGCAUGGUGGGGGUUGGAAAGUUUCGGCGGUUGGGGAUGGACUCGCGGCUUAUCAGCUUGUUGGUGGGGUAGUGGCUUACCAAGGCUUUGACGGGUAGCCGGCCUGAGAGGGUGACCGGCCACAUUGGGACUGAGAUACGGCCCAGACUCCUACGGGAGGCAGCAGUGGGGAAUAUUGCACAAUGGGCGGAAGCCUGAUGCAGCAACGCCGCGUGCGGGAUGAAGGCCUUCGGGUUGUAAACCGCUUUCGCCUGUGACGAAGCGUGAGUGACGGUAAUGGGUAAAGAAGCACCGGCUAACUACGUG